CAGGCCUAACACAUGCAAGUCGUACGGUAAGGCCCUUUCGGGGGUACGCGAGUGGCGAACGGGUGAGUAACACGUGAGUAACCUGCCCACAACUUUGGGAUAACGCUAGGAAACUGGUGCUAAUACUGGAUAUGUGCUCCUGCUGCAUGGUGGGGGUUGGAAAGCUCCGGCGGUUGUGGAUGGACUCGCGGCCUAUCAGCUUGUUGGUGGGGUAGUGGCCUACCAAGGCGGCGACGGGUAGCCGGCCUGAGAGGGUGACCGGCCACAUUGGGACUGAGAUACGGCCCAGACUCCUACGGGAGGCAGCAGUGGGGAAUAUUGCACAAUGGGCGCAAGCCUGAUGCAGCAACGCCGCGUGCGGGAUGACGGCCUUCGGGUUGUAAACCGCUUUCAGCAGGGACGAAGCUUUUUGUGACGGUACCUGCAGAAGAAGCACCGGCUAACUACGUGCCAGCAGCCGCGGUGAUACGUAGGGUGCGAGCGUUGUCCGGAUUUAUUGGGCGUAAAGGGCUCGUAGGCGGUUGAUCGCGUCGGAAGUGGAAACUUGAUGCUUAACGUUGAGCGUGCUUUCGAUACGGGUUGACUUGAGGAAGGUAGGGGAGUAUGGAAUUCCUGGUGGAGCGGUGGAAUGCGCAGAUAUCAGGAGGAACACCAGUGGCGAAGGCGGUUCUCUGGACCUUUCCUGACGCUGAGGAGCGAAAGCGUGGGGAGCGAACAGGCUUAGAUACCCUGGUAGUCCACGCUGUAAAC
Molecule: ribosomal RNA, 750 nt
Filed under: uncultured bacterium
Lineage: Bacteria
Description: bacterial SSU rRNA
Rfam family: Bacterial small subunit ribosomal RNA
Source: RNAcentral